GGAGGUAGAUACCUGGAGGUGCCACAUCCAAACUCCAGUUCUGUGUGCACUGGCUUUGGCCAGGGGGACAGCCAGGGGUUCCCAGCCAGGGGUUGUCUCCCCUCUGGCCAUUCUCAGGGCCAGCGUCUCACAGCACGCAGCCCCAGGCGACUGUGCCUGCUGCCACACCUGCCUGAUGGGAGGUUUCCUUCACGCUUACUUUGCGAUUGGGAUGGGUCAGAAUGUGUGUGCUGGGACAGGACGGUGGGUCUUGUCUCAAGCUCAGCAGAGGACACAGCAUGUGCCUAGAACAGAUGGCCACGUGGGAGGCCUCCAGGCUGCUGUUCUGCCCUACGUGAGGUCCCUGGGCCUGCACUCUCUGCACUGAUGAGGUGUGCCCAGCACCACCCUCUGGUGAGCUUCCAGGAGGCCCACAUGCUCUCAAUGCACAGGAAAACAGCAGCUACCUUUCCGUGUGCUUGCCUGGAGUCCCUGCCUAUUCAAAGGAGUGACAUCUUACACGGAGUUAGGCUUAGAGUUGGCACCAGAGAUGGAAUCACUGUGAAGCUAAUGAAGUUAAACUUCCAUGGUCCUUCACUCACUGACAGAGGCCUUACAAGGCCCUAACUUUGUAUGUAUCAUUUUCCAUUCUUUUUGGGACCUCCAAAACUGUAUAAAUUUCAGGUUUUAGAAAACCCGGGUCUGCCCCUGGUUGGCAUAUAAAGCAGAAUCACACAUGGUCCCUUUGCUCCUUGAAGAUCACUGAGGAACAGCACACAUUGGAGAGUAAAUGUGCCUUUCAGUGAGUUCUCUGCAGUUUGUCCACAGUGUUGAAAAAAGAUUACAGCUUUCCCAGCUGUGCACCUGAGGAAGUACAUAGGUGAUUUGCAUUUGGGGACCUUGCAAUAUGAGAAAUGCAUGUGUUUAAACAGUGGAUUCCAUUCAGCUCAGCCGGAGGCCGGCUCUGAGAUGCUCACUGUGAGAGACAGUUGGGCCUGAGAACCAUAGGGUGGGGUUGAGAGCAUGGCAGAUUCUUGUUUCCCAUCUCAUCUUCAGCCUCACGGUGCACUUACUGAGUGCAAGCAGAAAGAAAUAUCUGUACCAUUUAAAUUGCCUCUCCACUCCCUCACCUUUCUCUCUUUGCCAGCACACAUAGUUAACUGUGCAUAUGUUGUGUUGAUGCUGCUGUUCUUCUGUACUAUCUCAUUUCUUACUCAUAACAGCUCCCUGCAGAAGCAGCCCUUGUUUCUGAUAAGGACACCAAACCCCAAGGGAAUUCUGUAGCACGCCCCACUCUACAUAGGUUGAAAGACCCGGAAUGGCUGUUUGAUCCCAUCUCCAUGCUCUCUGGGACUGCCUCCUAGGGAUGCUCUAGAGGACAUCCUGGUCCACAUGCCUUCUGUCCUUGCCCUCCUUGCCCCUCCAGGCUCCACCGCUGAGGCUGCCCGCAUCAUCUACCCCCCAGAGGCCCAAACCAUCAUCGUCACCAAAGGCCAGAGUCUCAUUCUGGAGUGUGUGGCCAGUGGAAUCCCACCCCCACGGGUCACCUGGGCCAAGGAUGGGUCCAGUGUUGCCGGCUACAACAAGACGCGCUUCCUGCUGAGCAACCUCCUCAUCGACACCACCAGCGAGGAGGACUCAGGCACCUACCGCUGCAUGGCCGACAAUGGGGUUGGGCAGCCCGGGGCAGCGGUCAUCCUCUACAAUGUCCAGGUGUUCGAACCCCCUGAGGUCACCAUGGAGCUGUCCCAGCUGGUCAUCCCCUGGGGCCAGAGUGCCAAGCUUACCUGUGAGGUGCGUGGGAACCCCCCGCCCUCCGUGCUGUGGCUGAGGAAUGCCGUACCCCUCAUCUCCAGCCAGCGCCUCCGGCUCUCCCGCAGGGCCCUGCGCGUGCUCAGCAUGGGGCCUGAGGACGAAGGCGUCUACCAGUGCAUGGCCGAGAACGAGGUCGGGAGCGCCCAUGCCGUAGUCCAGCUGCGGACCUCCAGGCCAAGCAUAACCCCGAGGCUAUGGCAGGAUGCUGAGCUGGCUACUGGCACACCUCCUAUACCACCCUCCAAACCCGGCAACCCUGAGCAGAUGCUGAGGGGGCAACCGGCGCUCCCCAGACCCCCAACAUCAGUGUGGCCUGGUUCCCCACAGUGUCCAGGAGAGAAGGGGCAGGGGGCUCCCGCCGAGGCUCCCAUCAUCCUCAGCUCGCCCCGCACCUCCAAGACAGACUCAUAUGAACUGGUGUGGCGGCCUCGGCAUGAGGGCAGUGGCCGGGCACCAAUCCUCUACUAUGUGGUGAAACACCGCAAGCAGGUCACAAACUCCUCUGACGAUUGGACCAUCUCUGGCAUUCCAGCCAACCAGCACCGCCUGACCCUCACCAGACUCGACCCCGGGAGCUUGUAUGAAGUGGAGAUGGCGGCUUACAACUGUGCAGGCGAGGGCCAGACAGCCAUGGUCACCUUCCGAACUGGACGGCGGCCCAAACCCGAGAUCAUGGCCAGCAAGGAGCAGCAGAUCCAGAGGGAUGACCCUGGAGCCAGUCCCCAGAGCAGCAGCCAGCCAGACCACGGCCGUCUCUCCCCCCCAGAAGCUCCCGACAGGCCCACCAUCUCCAUGGCCUCCGAGACCUCGGUGUACGUGACCUGGAUUCCCCGUGGGAAUGGUGGGUUCCCGAUCCAGUCCUUCCGUGUGGAGUACAAGAAGCUAAAGAAAGUGGGAGACUGGAUUCUGGCCACCAGCGCCAUCCCCCCAUCGCGGCUGUCCGUGGAGAUCACAGGCCUAGAGAAAGGCACCUCCUACAAGUUUCGAGUCCGGGCUCUGAACAUGCUGGGGGAGAGCGAGCCCAGCGCCCCCUCUCGGCCCUACGUGGUGUCGGGCUACAGCGGCCGCAUGUACGAGAGGCCCGUGGCAGGUCCUUAUAUCACCUUCACGGAUGCGGUCAAUGAGACCACCAUCAUGCUCAAGUGGAUGUACAUCCCAGCAAGUAACAACAACACCCCAAUCCAUGGCUUUUAUAUUUAUUAUCGGCCCACAGACAGUGACAAUGAUAGUGACUACAAGAAGGAUAUGGUGGAAGGGGACAGGUACUGGCACUCCAUCAGCCACCUGCAGCCAGAGACGUCCUACGACAUUAAGAUGCAGUGCUUCAAUGAAGGAGGGGAGAGUGAGUUCAGCAACGUGAUGAUCUGUGAGACCAAAGCUCGGAAGUCUUCUGGCCAGCCUGGUCGACUGCCACCCCCAACUCUGGCCCCACCACAGCCGCCCCCUCCUGAAACCAUAGAGCGGCCGGUGGGCACUGGGGCCAUGGUGGCUCGCUCCAGUGACCUGCCCUAUCUGAUUGUCGGGGUCGUCCUGGGCUCCAUCGUUCUCAUCAUCGUCACCUUCAUCCCCUUCUGCUUGUGGAGGGCCUGGUCUAAGCAAAAAUAUACAACAGACCUGGGUUUUCCUCGAAGUGCCCUUCCACCCUCCUGCCCAUAUACUAUGGUGCCAUUGGGAGGACUCCCAGGCCACCAGGCCAGCGGACAGCCCUACCUCAGUGGCAUCAGUGGACGGGCCUGUGCUAAUGGGAUCCACAUGAAUAGGGGCUGCCCCGUGGCUUCAGUGGGCUACUCAGGCAUGAAGCCGCAGCAGCACUGUCCAGGCGAGCUUCAGCAGGUAGCGUAUUCUUGGGUGUGGGCGCAGGUAUGGGACACCCAGGAGGGUGUGGCUGGGCUGCCUUGGGGGGCCUCCUCCCUCCUAGGGUCUCAGCCUGGGCUGCUGGGCCAGGCUUUCUUCAGUCAGGAGCAGAUGCUCCUGUUGAUGAGUGAACACUGGAAAGUUACCUGGACUCCCUGGCGUGGCCGUCUCAUUACUCUUCCUUUUGAGCAGCAGAGUGACACCAGCAGCCUGCUGAGGCAGACCCAUCUUGGCAAUGGAUAUGACCCCCAAAGUCACCAGAUCACGAGGGGUCCCAAGUCUAGCCCGGACGAGGGCUCUUUCUUAUACACACUGCCCGACGACUCCACUCACCAGCUGCUGCAGCCCCAUCACGACUGCUGCCAACGCCAGGAGCAGCCUGCUGCUGUGGGCCAGUCAGGGGUGAGGAGAGCACCCGACAGUCCUGUCCUGGAAGCAAUGUGGGACCCUCCAUUUCACUCAGGGCCCCCAUGCUGCUUGGGCCUUGUACCAGUUGAAGAGGUGGACAGUCCCGACUCCUGCCAAGUGAGUGGAGGAGACUGGUGUCCCCAGCACCCCAUAGGGGCCUACGUAGGACAGGAACCUGGAAUGCAGCUCUCCCUGGGGCCACCGGUGCAUGUGUCUUUUGAAACACCACCUCCCACAAUUUAGGCAGAAGCCAAUAUCCCAGAAAGACUAUAUAUUGUUUUUUUUUUUUUAAAGAAGAAAAAAGAGACAGAGAAAAUUGGUAUUUAUUUUUCUAUUAUAGCCAUAUUUAUAUAUUUAUGCACUUGUAAAUAAAUGUAUAUGUUUUAUAAUUCUGGAGAGACAUAAGGAAUCCUACCCGUUGAGGUUGGAGAGGGAAAAUAAAGAAGCUGCCACCUAACAGGAGUCACCCAGGAAAGCACCGCGCAGGCUGGCGCGGGACAGACUCCUAACCUGGGGCCUCUGCAGCGGCAGGCGAGGCUGCAGGAGGCCCACAGAUAAGCUGGCAAGAGGAGGAUCCCAGGCACGUGGUUCAUCGUGACCCUAAGGGAAAGGCAAGGGUCACAGCAUCACAGCCUGGAGACACCCACACAAAUAGAUGGCUGGAUCCGGUGCUACGGGAAACAUUUUCCUAAGAUGCCCAUGAGAACAGCCCAAGAUGUGUACAGCACUAUGAGCAUUAAGAAACCUUCCAGAAUCAAUAAUCCGUGGCAACAUAGCUCUGUAAAAACAAACACUGUAACUUCUAAAUAAAUGUUUAGUCUUCCCUGUAA
This 4886-nucleotide small RNA is filed under the name Pongo abelii (Sumatran orangutan). RNAcentral's name for it is "retained intron". The record is from RNAcentral. Lineage: Eukaryota; Metazoa; Chordata; Mammalia; Primates; Hominidae.